Molecule: long non-coding RNA, 2379 nt
Organism: Silurus meridionalis
Lineage: Eukaryota; Metazoa; Chordata; Actinopteri; Siluriformes; Siluridae
Exons: 2
Source: RefSeq, a predicted model, not a curated record
AAUGAUAGAAAAAAUAAAAUCGCACACAGCCUUCAUACAGUUUCACAUGGAGCUGAUGAGCUGCUGUACGCAGAUGGACACCGGACUGGUGGACGUUGUUUUCUGAUCCAGUCAGUCGUUAUUGAACAUUCAGCGGAUUUUCAUAAUUUAUCUCAUAUUUUCAAUCUCUGGGCUCCACCACAUCUGUCUUCACUCCAUCUUUAUUUCCCUUCUUUCACCCCGUCCCUUGUGUCCUGGGUUCAUCCCCUACCUUCUCUCACAUUACUCAGUCCUCAUCCUGUAUCUCAUCAUUACCAUUCUGGUUCCUGCUCUGUCCUCCUCCUCCUCCCCCUAAGUCCCUGUUCAGUCCCGUCUCCGUCUCACACAUCAGAUAGACAGAAAGUGUGUGUCGUGUUAAAUGGGACACGGGCAUUCUGUACUCAUCGAAGGCAUUUAUUUUCCACAUAACAAUAAUAAUUCCAUCUCGUUAACAGCUAACUGUAAUUACGCAAAAGAGAGGAAAAGAAAACCAAAUGUACACUGUGUUUCGUCUAAGCGUUUAUACAAAACCGGGAAUGCGAUGCCUGUGGCGUGUCUGCGAGCAGGGAACAGAAAAAAAGCCCUUUUUACAACUUUUCAUUGUGACGGUCCGCGCUGUGCGCUCGAGUCUCUUAUAACUUCGCGUGUGUGUGUGCGCGCACGCGGGCGUGUCGGAGGUCCAGCAACAGGUGGAAAGCAGCGCCGGCGAGGUCCAUCGUGCUCCGCUUUGUCGGAUGUGCUGCUGCUGAUGGAGACGUGUACACGAAAUCAAAGGUUAAAAAUAAAAGUUAGGAAAUUAAACACGAGGGUGAACACGACGAAACAAAAGCUUGAUAAACUACACGGGAAUUUUUUUUUUAAACAUACAGUCACUUGAUAUUUAAUAUAAUACUAAAUAAAGACAAUUCCAUUCAAAUUGUUUAAAAUAAAAAUCAAGGGUCGUCAUUUACUUUUAACACACAAGUCAUGAUAAUACCAGAGAUAUGGACGUCUUGUGAUGCAAGAAAAAAAAAAGAUUCAAUAAAACAAUGUACAAAACCAAAAGAUUUCCAAAAACAAUUAACCCACCGAUGCAAAUGUGUAUAUGAUUAAAUAAAGCGUAAAAUACUUCACUGCAGGUGAAUAAAAAAAAUGCCCCCUUUAUGAAAAAGAGUAAACCGCUGGCGCUGAACACGCACACAUCUGUCUGACGCACACAUCUGUCUGACGCCGGAUUUUAGUUACAAAGUGCAUAAAAAGCGAAACGCUAAAAAGUAAAAGAUUUCUGAGUGCCAGCGAGCAGAACAAUCAGACGAGUGCUGAAUUAAAAAUCCAGGGGGGAAAAGUGUCGUGUUUUUAAGCGUCGAAGUUUAAAGACGAGAACAUUUCUGGGGAAAAUACAAAAUUUCCACUCGCUCAAUUAGAGGAUUCGUUUUUUUCCCCUCAAAUCUGAUAUGCUUCAUUUUUUUCUUUUAUAAACUUUUACACAUUUUAUUUAUGACUCGAUUUGAGAGAUAAAAAAAAAAAAUCACAAUCAAUAAUAAUCCUCGUGUAAGUGAUAUGCUGAAGAUAUGCUGCUUCAUCAUUGUUUGCUCUGAUACUCGGGGGCACGUCUUCUGAUAAAUUGAUCAUAAAUUAAAGAGAAAUUUUCACUUAUGUUUAAUUAAAUCAUUUGUUUUACCAAAAAUGUUUUAAUGUAGCUGAAGCACAUUACAAGCUCACGAUGAAUCAGUCUGAGUAUGAAGAAGAGAAUCAUUAAAUAAAUUAUCUUACGCUGAGAAAAGAAAUAAAUUGGUAUGAGACGCCUUUAAGAGCGAGUGAUUUACGUUCAGAAGAUGAACCAGCCAUUCGUGCUGGAUAGGCACAAUAUCAUUGUGUGUGUGUGUGUGUGUGUGUUUAUAUAUAAUGUUCGUAUAUGUGUAUAUAAAAAGGUUUUCACGACUACACUUGUUCGCACCCAAACAACCUCUGUACAAAAACUAAACCAUGGGGAUGGCUGUUAAAAAGGAAUAAUUAUUAUUAAAAAAUUGGGAAUAUCAAGAGGAUAAACACAAUCUCAACCAAAAAUUAUGGCAGCAGCAGCAAACGAUAAUGAAGAGGGGAAAAAAAAAAAGGUUUUGCAUACACCAGUUUUAAAACGAGAAGGAAUUGAUAAAGUUGGCGUCGACGCUCUGAGAGUUCACACACGUCCACGGCAGAGGGUGUGUUUUAUAUUUAUAUUUAUAUAUAAUAUGCUCCGUGUUGUGUGAUUGGCGUUUGGAGUAAACACUGUCCUCGUGUGUGUGUGUGUGUGUGUGUGUGUGUGUGUGUGUGUGAGAGAGAGAGAGAGAGAGAGAGAGAGAGAGAGAGAGAGAGAGAGAUACAUAUACAUAUAUAUAUAUA